Molecule: non-coding RNA, 108 nt
Filed under: Clostridium magnum
Lineage: Bacteria; Bacillati; Bacillota; Clostridia; Eubacteriales; Clostridiaceae
Also listed under: 1 other name
Description: Azaaromatic sequence
Rfam family: azaaromatic riboswitch aptamer (yjdF RNA)
Source: RNAcentral
GUACAUGGAGAUAAAAACACAGUUUCGGUAGGUAGUCCGAACCUAUCUAUAUUUUGUAGAUAGCAGUAUCCUUCCCUCCUGGGGUCGUCCAUUCUCUAUUUUAAUUUA